Molecule: ribosomal RNA, 404 nt
Filed under: uncultured bacterium
Lineage: Bacteria
Description: bacterial SSU rRNA
Rfam family: Bacterial small subunit ribosomal RNA
Source: RNAcentral
GACGAACGCUGGCGGCGCGCCUAACACAUGCAAGUCGAACGAGAGAUGAAGGAGCUUGCUCUUCAGAUCGAGUGGCGAACGGGUGAGUAACGCGUGAGGAACCUGCCUCAAAGAGGGGGACAACAGUUGGAAACGACUGCUAAUACCGCAUAAGCCCACGGCUCGGCAUCGAGCAGAGGGAAAAGGAGCAAUCCGCUUUGAGAUGGCCUCGCGUCCGAUUAGCUAGUUGGUGAGGUAACGGCCCACCAAGGCGACGAUCCGGUAGCCGGACUGAGAGGUUGAACGGCCACAUUGGGACUGAGACACGGCCCAGACUCCUACGGGAGGCAGCAGUGGGGAAUAUUGCACAAUGGGGGAAACCCUGAUGCAGCGACGUCGCGUGGAGGAAGAAGGUCUUCGGAUUG